CCUACUUGAUCCUGUAAGUCACUCUGGAUAAGAGCGUCUGCUAAAUGACUCAAA
Non-coding RNA from Salmo salar (Atlantic salmon), 54 nucleotides. The record is from Rfam. Lineage: Eukaryota; Metazoa; Chordata; Actinopteri; Salmoniformes; Salmonidae.